Molecule: ribosomal RNA, 468 nt
Filed under: uncultured bacterium
Lineage: Bacteria
Description: partial 16S ribosomal RNA
Rfam family: Bacterial small subunit ribosomal RNA
Source: RNAcentral
GACGAACGCUGGCGGCGUGCUUAACACAUGCAAGUCGAACGGAAAGGCCCUGCUUUUGUGGGGUGCUCGAGUGGCGAACGGGUGAGUAACACGUGAGUAACCUGCCCUUGACUUUGGGAUAACUUCAGGAAACUGGGGCUAAUACCGGAUAGGAGCUCCUGCUGCAUGGUGGGGGUUGGAAAGUUUCGGCGGUUGGGGAUGGACUCGCGGCUUAUCAGCUUGUUGGUGGGGUAGUGGCUUACCAAGGCUUUGACGGGUAGCCGGCCUGAGAGGGUGACCGGCCACAUUGGGACUGAGAUACGGCCCAGACUCCUACGAGAGGCAGCAGUGGGGAAUAUUGCACAAUGGGCGGAAGCCUGAUGCAGCAACGCCACGUGCGGGAUGACGGCCUUCGGGUUGUAAACCGCUUUCGCCUGUGACGAAGCGUGAGUGACGGUAAUGGGUAAAGAAGCACCGGCUAACUACGUG